UGAAACCGUGUACGUACAAGCAGUAGGAGCACCUUCGUGGUGUGACUGCGUACCUUUUGUAUAAUGGGUCAGCGACUUAUAUUCAGUGGCAAGGUUAACCGUAUAGGGGAGCCGUAGCGAAAGCGAGUCUUAACUGGGCGCUCAGUCUCUGGAUAUAGACCCGAAACCGGGUGAUCUAGCCAUGGGCAGGUUGAAGGUUGAGUAACAUCAACUGGAGGACCGAACCGACUAAUGUUGAAAAAUUAGCGGAUGACUUGUGGCUAGGGGUGAAAGGCCAAUCAAACUCGGAGAUAGCUGGUUCUCCCCGAAAGCUAUUUAGGUAGCGCCUCGGACGAAUACUACUGGGGGUAGAGCACUGUUAAGGCUAGGGGGUCAUCCCGACUUACCAACCCUUUGCAAACUCCGAAUACCAGUAAGUACUAUCCGGGAGACACACGGCGGGUGCUAACGUCCGUCGUGGAGAGGGAAACAACCCAGACCGCCAGCUAAGGUCCCAAAGUAUUGCUAAGUGGGAAACGAUGUGGGAAGGCUCAGACAGCUAGGAUGUUGGCUUAGAAGCAGCCAUCAUUUAAAGAAAGCGUAAUAGCUCACUAGUCGAGUCGGCCUGCGCGGAAGAUGUAACGGGGCUAAGCAAUACACCGAAGCUGCGGCAAUGUC
This 657-nucleotide ribosomal RNA is filed under the name Vibrio cholerae. RNAcentral's name for it is "partial 23S ribosomal RNA". It matches the Rfam family "Bacterial large subunit ribosomal RNA", at positions 551 to 1212 of the family's 2925-position model. The record is from RNAcentral. Lineage: Bacteria; Pseudomonadati; Pseudomonadota; Gammaproteobacteria; Vibrionales; Vibrionaceae.